RNAcentral lists this long non-coding RNA (484 nucleotides) under Olea europaea (common olive). Its description in RNAcentral is "long non-coding RNA (OEUR_LNC001173)". Lineage: Eukaryota; Viridiplantae; Streptophyta; Magnoliopsida; Lamiales; Oleaceae. The record is from RNAcentral.
UCACAUGCAAUUCUAACAUUGUAGAAAAGAUUGGAAAUAAAUUCACAAUGAAUUUAAGGUAAAUAAUUAACAAGUAAUUCAUAGGUCUAGCAACAGGCAAUGAUUAUCCCUUACGGUAACCCCAAUUCUAACGUCACCCACACGAAUACUUCUAAUGUGAAAAAUAAAUGACUAUCAUACACAAUAGUUUAACUGCAAUAGUAAAAAAAUGAAGAACACGAUACCGAACAGACCACGUUUGAAGGUUCGUAAAUAUCAAGAGAUGCGAAUUCACCGCUUUAGGACUACCAUUGCUCUAAAGCUUCCAGUAACCGCGAUGAUACAAAAAGACACCUGACACCCGAACGUCGAAGAACAAAAUCGUCCAAUUUUCAUCAUAUUGCCAGAACUGAAAUACAACAACACCACAGGGCCUUUCUCGACGUUCAGAACAAUAUGUCUGAAGACGACAUGCCAGACUCUGAUGGACAUGCCCUCACGCGAG